GGGGGUGCGGCUCAGUGGAGAGCGCUGGCCUGUCACGCCGAGGCCCUGGGUUCGAUCCCCAGCACUGCAG
Molecule: transfer RNA, 70 nt
Filed under: Ictidomys tridecemlineatus (thirteen-lined ground squirrel)
Lineage: Eukaryota; Metazoa; Chordata; Mammalia; Rodentia; Sciuridae
Description: Spermophilus tridecemlineatus (thirteen-lined ground squirrel) tRNA
Rfam family: tRNA
About the family: Transfer RNA (tRNA) molecules are approximately 80 nucleotides in length. Their secondary structure includes four short double-helical elements and three loops (D, anti-codon, and T loops). Further hydrogen bonds mediate the characteristic L-shaped molecular structure. tRNAs have two regions of fundamental functional importance: the anti-codon, which is responsible for specific mRNA codon recognition, and the 3' end, to which the tRNAs corresponding amino acid is attached (by aminoacyl-tRNA synthetases). tRNAs cope with the degeneracy of the genetic code in two manners: having more than one tRNA (with a specific anti-codon) for a particular amino acid; and 'wobble' base-pairing, i.e. permitting non-standard base-pairing at the 3rd anti-codon position.
Source: Rfam by way of RNAcentral